This 23-nucleotide non-coding RNA is filed under the name Arabidopsis thaliana (thale cress). Lineage: Eukaryota; Viridiplantae; Streptophyta; Magnoliopsida; Brassicales; Brassicaceae. The record is from RNAcentral.
UCCAGUAGCCACCAAAGUUUCCU